UCGCCGAGCCACGUUCUUAAUCCCCACUUUUCCGCUCUGGAUUUGUGGGAUCUGAUGGAGGGGUGGGAAGAAGUCUGUUUCACUUGGCCUCCCCCAUCCCCUACAGCGUCUCGUGUGCCUGGAGAGCAUCUAGGACAACCACAGCUGAGGUCGUGGUCCCCGUCGUCACACAGAAACGAUGAGCAUCUCAGCCUUUUUGCAGAAUACCCAUCCGCUUUUUCGGUGGAAGCUGAGCUAUCCUCUUCCUCUACCAGCUCGGGCCCUACCAUUCACCGCCUGAAUCAGCCGCCAUCUGGUCACUGCUCACUCCCUUCCCCCCAGGUCACAGCCAGAGACAUAACCCAGACGCUCGACCAAAAAGCCGAAACACCUGCCUCUUUAUGGGAACCCCUGGAUGAGUUCUACAGAAUUCCAAGAAGAUUGUUUGCUGAGAUUCUUUGCAGCGGAGGAGCAUGAAGCAAGAGAUGCCUCCCUCUACUCACUGAACCAGCAAGGUAAAUUUCUCUUGAGCAGAUUAUGUUGCAGAGUGUUUCAAUUGCUGGGAUUGAUGGAAGACAGUGCACUCUCCUUAAUGAGUCGGCAGGAUAAAUUGUUGGAGUAAGGAAGGCAGUAGUCCGACCUAAUGAAGUCUGGACAGUCGAGCGUGUAGGAACAGUACCAAUUUUGUUUUGCUGCUUAAAAUAGCAAUCGCUUUGUAACUCCCGGCUAUAAAUUGAAACGUUGGGUAAUGUUCCUAAAAUAAUCACGCUCAACCACUAAAACUUGUUGAGACUGGAAAGUGUGCCACUCUAGGUUUGCUGCUUUGGAUUGUUAAUUUGUAUUUGUCUGUUUUUUGUUUGUCUUUUGUUUUUUUCUGUAUGUUCCAGACUGCUCCAAGGCCAGGGGACCGUUGUGUGCUCUUUGAUUUGUAAGGGAAGAGAGUUUCAGAGGCGUUUCUUAUCUCUUAUCACACACACUUGAAUCCCUCUCUUUUCCUUCUCUAAUCAAUCUGAAAACAGAUCUGCUAGAACACUGAAUAACUGUGGGCAGGGAAGGUGUCUGCCAACUCUGUUGUAUUAUAGUACAGUGCUCUGCACACAGUAAGCACUCCAUAAAUAGCGUUGAUUAUAGAGGUGUGGAAAGCUCAUACUUUGCGUCUUCGCACGUCAAAACAAGAAGCCUAUUGAUCUCACAGGGAAGCCUAAGAUGAUAAUGAUCAUGUUGUUAAAGCAGACUCUUUGGACAUGAACUUGGUCUCCCGGCCUGGAGUAGAAGAGUGCUACUGCUCUUCAGCUAGAUAGAGAUCGAUUUCUUUGUUUGGUAGCUAUGGUCUUGUAUUUUGGGAAAGUAGUGUACCCUCCCAAGUGCUUAGUACAUUCAUUUGGUCGUAUUUAUUGAACGCUCACUGUGUGCCAAGCGCAGUGCUAAGCGCUUGGGAGAAUACAAUUCAUUUCCUGCCCAAAGCUCACAGUCCAAAGGGAGGGACAGGCGUUAAUAUAAAUAAAUAAAUAAUGGUACAGGUAUUCAUUCAGUAGUGUUUAUUGAGCCCUUACUAUGUGCAGAGCACUGUACUAAGCGCUUGGAAUGUACAAUUGGGCAGUAGAUAGAGACAAUCCCUGCCCAAUGACGGGCUCACAGUCUAAACGAUGUAUACAUAUGUGCUGUGGGAUUCUGUUCUAUCCUCUUCCCUGCCCCACAGCACUGGUGUAUAUUUGUACAUACAUAUUAUUCUAUUGAUUUAUUAAUGAUGUGUAUAUAUCUGUAAUUCUAUAUAUUCUGAUACUACCGACGCCUGUCUGUUUGUUCUGUUGUCUGUCUCCCCCUUCUAGACUCCUAGCUCGUUGUUGGGUAGGGAUCGUCUUUGUCUGUUGCUGAAUUGUACUUUCCAAGUGCUUAGUACAGUGCUCUGCACACAGUAAGCGCUCAAUAAAUACAACUGAAUGAAGGAAUGAACGAGAGGGAGGAUGAAUGAAGGGAGCAAGUAAGGUGACACAGAAAGGAGUGGCAGAAGAGGAGAGGAGGGCUUAGUCAGGGAAGGCUUCUUGGAGGAGAUGGGCCUUCAGUAAGGCUUUGAAUAGGGGAGAGCAAUUAUCUGAAAUGAGAGGGAGGGGGUUCCAGGCCAGAGGUAGGACGUGGGCUAGAGGUUGGAGGUAGAAUAAGACGAGAUCGAGGUACAGUGAGAAGGUUGGCAUUAGAGGAACAAAGUGUGUGGGCUGGGUUGUAGUAGAAAAGUAGGGAGGUGACGUAGGAGGGGGCAGGGUGAUUGAGUGCUCUAAAGCCAGUGGUGAGGAGUUUUUUGUUUGAGGCAGAGUUGGAUGGACAACCAUUGGAGUUUUCUGAGAAGUGGGGAGACAUGGUCUGAACGUUUUUGAAGGAAAAUGAUCCGGGCAGGAGAGUGAAGUCUGGACUGGAGUGGGGAGAGACAGGAGGCAGGGAAGCUGAUACAAUAAUCAAAGCGGGAUAGGGUAAGUUCUUGCAUUAAUUUAGUAGCAGUUUGGAUGGAGAGGAAGGGGUGGAUUUUAGCCAUGUCGUGAAGGUAGAACUGACAGGAUUUAGUGAGGCUUUGAAUAUGUGGGAUGAAUGAGAGAGAGGAGUACAGAGUCCAGCACAGUGCUCCGCGCAUAGUAAGUGUGCCGUAAGUACAAUUGAUCGAUUUGACCGACUCACCGACAGGUUUCCUCCGAGCA
Molecule: long non-coding RNA, 2666 nt
Filed under: Ornithorhynchus anatinus (platypus)
Lineage: Eukaryota; Metazoa; Chordata; Mammalia; Monotremata; Ornithorhynchidae
Description: lncRNA (ENSOANG00000041670.1)
Source: RNAcentral